CGUUGAGGCGGUUCCGUAAGUUGGACGUGAAAGCCCCGAGCUCAACUCGGGGAGGCCGUUCAAUACUGCGGGACUUGAGGGCAGCAGAGGGAGGUGGAAUUCCCGGUGUAGUGGUGAAAUGCGUAGAUAUCGGGAGGAACACCAGUGGCGAAGGCGGCCUCCUGGGCUGUUCCUGACGCUGAAGGCGAAAGCUAGGGUAGCGAACG
Molecule: ribosomal RNA, 206 nt
Filed under: uncultured bacterium
Lineage: Bacteria
Description: partial 16S ribosomal RNA
Rfam family: Bacterial small subunit ribosomal RNA
Source: RNAcentral